Molecule: ribosomal RNA, 243 nt
Filed under: uncultured bacterium
Lineage: Bacteria
Description: partial 16S ribosomal RNA
Rfam family: Bacterial small subunit ribosomal RNA
Source: RNAcentral
CGGACGUGAGGAACCUGCCUUGGAGUGGGGAAUAACAGCUGGAAACAGCUGCUAAUACCGCAUAAUAUAUUUGGGCCGCAUGGCUCUGGAUAUCAAAGAUUUAUCGCUCUGAGAUGGACUCGCGUCUGAUUAGCUAGUUGGCGGGGUAACGGCCCACCAAGGCGACGAUCAGUAGCCGGACUGAGAGGUUGGCCGGCCACAUUGGGACUGAGACACGGCCCAGACUCCUACGGAAGGCAGCAG